GAUGAACGCUAGCUACAGGCUUAACACAUGCAAGUCGAGGGGCAUCAGGAAGAAAGCUUGCUUUCUUUGCUGGCGACCGGCGCACGGGUGAGUAACACGUAUCCAACCUGCCCUUUACUCGGGGAUAGCCUUUCGAAAGAAAGAUUAAUACCCGAUAGCAUAAUGAUUCCGCAUGGUUUCAUUAUUAAAGGAUUCCGGUAAAGGAUGGGGAUGCGUUCCAUUAGGUAGUAGGCGGGGUAACGGCCCACCUAGCCGACGAUGGAUAGGGGUUCUGAGAGGAAGGUCCCCCACAUUGGAACUGAGACACGGUCCAAACUCCUACGGGAGGCAGCAGUGAGGAAUAUUGGUCAAUGGGCGAGAGCCUGAACCAGCCAAGUAGCGUGAAGGAUGAAGGUCCUACGGAUUGUAAACUUCUUUUAUACGGGAAUAAAGUAUCCUACGUGUAGGAUUUUGUAUGUACCGUAUGAAUAAGCAUCGGCUAACUCCGUG
Molecule: ribosomal RNA, 489 nt
Filed under: uncultured bacterium
Lineage: Bacteria
Description: bacterial SSU rRNA
Rfam family: Bacterial small subunit ribosomal RNA
Source: RNAcentral